GCCUUCGUGGUUUAAUGGUCAACACACUCGAUGCGUAUUCGAGAGGUCUGUGGUUCGACUCCCGGCAAGUGCA
Non-coding RNA from Stegodyphus mimosarum, 73 nucleotides. Lineage: Eukaryota; Metazoa; Arthropoda; Arachnida; Araneae; Eresidae. The record is from Rfam.